UACGAAGGGGGCUAGCGUUGUUCGGAAUCACUGGGCGUAAAGGGCGCGUAGGCGGCCGUUCAAGUCGGGGGUGAAAGCCUGUGGCUCAACCACAGAAUUGCCUUCGAUACUGUACGGCUCGAGACCGGAAGAGGUAAGUGGAACUGCGAGUGUAGAGGUGAAAUUCGUAGAUAUUCGCAAGAACACCAGUGGCGAAGGCGGCUUACUGGUCCGGUUCUGACGCUGAGGCGCGAAAGCGUGGGGAGCAAACAGG
Molecule: ribosomal RNA, 253 nt
Filed under: uncultured bacterium
Lineage: Bacteria
Description: partial 16S ribosomal RNA
Rfam family: Bacterial small subunit ribosomal RNA
Source: RNAcentral